RNAcentral lists this unclassified non-coding RNA (739 nucleotides) under uncultured Prochlorococcus sp. Its description in RNAcentral is "partial 16S-23S ribosomal RNA intergenic spacer; may also contain 16S ribosomal RNA and 23S ribosomal RNA". The stretch from base 1 to 93 matches the Rfam family "Bacterial small subunit ribosomal RNA", at positions 1441 to 1533 of the family's 1533-position model. Lineage: Bacteria; Bacillati; Cyanobacteriota; Cyanophyceae; Synechococcales; Prochlorococcaceae. The record is from RNAcentral.
UUGUGGAGGAGGACGCCGAAGGUGGGGCUGAUGACUGGGGUGAAGUCGUAACAAGGUAGCCGUACCGGAAGGUGCGGCUGGAUCACCUCCUAACAGGGAGACAAUAAAUAGAUUGUGAUGUCUAAGUUAUUUAUUCUUAGGCCGCAAUCCUGUCACCUUAAGGUCGAUCGGUACCUCAGAUUUUUGAAUUAGUUUUUCAAUUGAUUCUUUGAUUUCAGUUCCUAAACUUGUCUAGGUCACACCCAACAAAGGUUUCUCCUGGGCCAUUAGCUCAGGUGGUUAGAGCGCACCCCUGAUAAGGGUGAGGUCCCUGGUUCAAGUCCAGGAUGGCCCAUUCGUUGUUGGGGGUAUAGCUCAGUUGGUAGAGCGCCUGCUUUGCAAGCAGGAUGUCAGCGGUUCGAGUCCGCUUACCUCCACUGAAAACUAUCCUGAUAACUAAAUUUCUGGAGAAAAAAAUUGUAGAUGUGGCUUAGAAUUGUCUAUUUGAAAAGAACCUAGCUUCUUGUCAUCUUUUUAUAGUUGAUAACAUGCUGGGCUCGCAUGGAUUAUUUCCAUGAGAAUUCAGUAGAACCUUGAAAACUGCAUAGAUUAGAAAGAAUAAAGCAUCUCAUGGAUGCAUAGUUCUGUUUUUAUAAUUUAGCCUUAAAACUAAAUUAUGUAAUUCUAGAAUUCAUGUUUAAUUCUUGAGUAAUAGCCGAGCACAAUUGAUUUUGUGAUUGUAUUAAAGGUCAAGCUACAA